RNAcentral lists this ribosomal RNA (415 nucleotides) under uncultured bacterium. RNAcentral describes it as "bacterial SSU rRNA". It matches the Rfam family "Bacterial small subunit ribosomal RNA", at positions 28 to 440 of the family's 1533-position model. The record is from RNAcentral.
GAUGAACGCUAGCGGCAGGCUUAAUACAUGCAAGUCGAGGGGCAGCGGGGUAGCAAUACCGCCGGCGACCGGCAAACGGGUGCGGAACACGUACGCAACCUUCCCAUAACUGGUGAAUAGCCUUUCGAAAGAGAGAUUAAUACACCGUAACAUAACGAGCAGGCAUCUGCUUGUUAUUAUAGGCUUCGGCCGGUUUUGGAUGGGCGUGCGCCUGAUUAGGUAGUUGGCGGGGUAACGGCCCACCAAGCCUGCGAUCAGUAACUGGUGUGAGAGCACGACCAGUCACACGGGCACUGAGACACGGGCCCGACUCCUACGGGAGGCAGCAGUAAGGAAUAUUGGACAAUGGGCGCAAGCCUGAUCCAGCAAUGCCGCGUGGGUGAAGAAGGUCUUCGGAUUGUAAAGCCCUUUCGAC